RNAcentral lists this unclassified non-coding RNA (391 nucleotides) under soil metagenome. RNAcentral's name for it is "partial contains 5.8S ribosomal RNA, internal transcribed spacer 2, and large subunit ribosomal RNA". The stretch from base 1 to 122 matches the Rfam family "5.8S ribosomal RNA", at positions 35 to 154 of the family's 154-position model. The record is from RNAcentral.
GAUGAAGAACGUAGCGAAAUGCGAUACUUGGUGUGAAUUGCAGAAUCCCGUGAACCAUCGAGUCUUUGAACGCAAGUUGCGCCCGAAGCCACUAGGCCGAGGGCACGCCUGCCUGGGCGUCACACGCCGUUGCCCCCCCAUCUACUCCUUCGGGAUUGCGGGGGGGCGGAUGAUGGCCUCCCGUGCGCCUAGCCGCGCGGUUGGCAUAAAUACCAAGUCCUCGGCGACGCACGCCACGACAAUCGGUGGUUGCGAAACCUCGGUUGCCCGUCGUGUGCGUUCGUCGCGCAUCGAGGGCUCGAAAAAAUGCUCGGCUCCGGCUGGGCUUUCAACGCGACCCCAGGUCAGACGGGGUUACCCGCUGAAUUUAAGCAUAUCAAUAAGCGGAGGA